GAUCCUGGCUCAGAUUGAACGCUGGCGGCAGGCCUAACACAUGCAAGUCGAACGGUAACAGGGAACAGCUUGCUGUUUCGCUGACGAGUGGCGGACGGGUGAGUAAUGUCUGGGAAACUGCCUGAUGGAGGGGGAUAACUACUGGAGACGGUAGCUAAUACCGCAUAACGUCGCAAGACCAAAGAGGGGGACCUUCGGGCCUCUUGCCAUCAGAUGUGCCCAGAUGGGAUUAGCUAGUAGGG
This 242-nucleotide ribosomal RNA is filed under the name uncultured bacterium. RNAcentral describes it as "partial 16S ribosomal RNA". It matches the Rfam family "Bacterial small subunit ribosomal RNA", at positions 15 to 253 of the family's 1533-position model. The record is from RNAcentral.